CAGCCUCAAGUGGGAACUGCUCUGAGGAAAGCUCUGUGUACUUGUGACAGGUAAAGGAGAAAGCGGGGCGGUAUAGUUCGGAGGAAACUGCCUCUCUGAGAAGGGAGUGUCUAGGAUGCGGCAAAGCAGGAGGGGGAGGCUCCUUCAGCUCAUACAUAAUCGCAUCAAAGCUGCCUCUCAAGAUCGGGUUAAGACCAUGAUGCUACUCUACCACCUCAAUCAAGGAUACCAGCCGCUACCCUCAAAGAGGACUCCAGGCGCUAGAGCAGACAAGAUAAAAGACCAGCCAUGCCCAUGCCCUGCACACAGUCUCUUCAGAGACUGUCACCACUUCUUUGCUUCAAUAAAGUAAUCUGUCUCUGUUGAGGUCAGUCUCUGUCUCUUUCUUUUAGGGGAUAUGAAAGGCCAGAACCUCAAAUUAUUUAAACCUAACUAUGCCUGUUUAUUACCUGUAUUUAAACAGAACAAUGCCAGUUUACUAACUGUAUUAUUUGUUUUGUUGCUGACUUUCUUAAGUUCCUUAUAUAACUUGGAUAUUAAUCCUUUAUCAGAUGCAUUAUUUGCAAAUAUUUUCUUCCAUUCUGUCAGUUAUCUCUUCAUUUUGUUGAGUGUUCCCAUUCUCUGCUUGAUGUAAUCCCAUUUAUCUAUCUUUGCUUUUAUUGAUGUGCUUCUGGUGUGAGGAGUCCAAUGGAUAAUAGGCAGUCAGGGGGGUCCCCUGGUAGAAAUUUGGAAUAGCAAGGUGCCUGCUCCCAUCCAAAAGGUUAUAUUUAGUAGAUCAAAGUGUCUUUCUUCCUUAGGAAUCUCAAAGUUUAUAAAUUUACCAUGAAAAUAACAAGGGAGUGGAUGAUUUUUUUUAUUCAUAAGCGAGCCAGAAAGGAUGGAGAAUUGUAAAUCAGUUUGUUGAGUUUAUCUCCACCUUGUUGAUUGACAGUUUGGUCUCCAAGAUUGUACUUUUAAAAACUUCAUUACCACCAGCCCUUUGGGUGUUCCUCUCUUGGAACCCCUCUCAUUGACUCUCUGGCAGGAGGUUUCCAACUUGAAUAAAUCUUACUUUAUUUUCACUGCGUGUCUGCGUGAUAAUUCUUUUGCAUGAGACAAAGAACUGAGGCCAUCUCUUCACACCAUUUUCCCAUAACACUGGGAUCUUUUCCAAGAAGUCUUUGUCUUUGCCAAUGUCUUGCAGAGUUUCUCCAAUGUUUUCUUCUAGUAAUUUUGGUAAAAUCAGGUCAUAGACUUAUAUCCUUGAUCAGUUGUGAAUUUAAAUUUUGUAUGGCAUAUAAGGUAGUGCUCUUGUUUCAUAGUUGUGCAUAUGAGGAAUCACCCAGAGAUCAUGAAGGAAUCCAAUUGUACCCACACCAUUUGUUAAAGAGACUGUCCUUUCUCAAGGGAGUGAUUUUGUUACCAGAAGGAAGGUUGUAGAAGCUGUGGGGUUCUUGUCUUCACACAAGAAAGAAUUCAGGUGUGAGACACAGAGUGGAGUGAUAACAUUUUACUGGUGGUAGGGCAUCCCUCAGAACUAAAGGGACAGAGAGAGAGUGCCCAGUCGCUGGGGCUGGGGGAGAGUGAGCAUGGUUGAGUGGAGAGAAUACACCUGGGCAGGCCAGGCGGGCUGCUCAGCAGAGAGGCAGAGAGCUGAAUGCUCUGUCCAUUUGGACUCCCUAGGUUUUUAAGGGAGUUAUAAAUUUAUAGAUUCCUACCUAACAAUUUUAGCUUAAUUGUCGAAGCAUAUUGCAUUGUUGAUGCAUAGAUUGAUUUCUGAGGUUUCUAAUUUUUUCCAUUGGUAUAUAUGUCUAUUUUCAUGCUAGUACCAGGCUACUUGAUACAACUAUCCUGUAUCAUGUUUUGGAAUCUGGUAUUGUGAUGGUUCUGGCUGUUUCUGUUGUUAAAAUUGCUUUAGUGGGUAGCGGGUAAAGCUGCUGCCUGCAGUGCCGGCAUCCCAUGUGGGAGCCGGUUCAAGUUCCGGCUGCUCCACUUCCAAUCCAGCUGUCUGCUAUGGCCUGGGAAAGCGAUGGAAGUUGUCCCAAGUCCUCGGGACCUUGCACCCAAGCCAGAGACCUGGAAGAGGCUCCUGGCUCUUGGGAUCAGUGCAGCUCUGGCCUUGUGGCCAUUUGGAGAGUGAACUAGUAGAUGGAAGACCUCUCUUUCUCUCUCUCUCUCUCUGCCUCUCUGAAAUUCUGCCUUUCAAAUAAAAUAAAUAAACCUUAAAAAAAUAAAAUUCCUUUAGCUAUUCUGGGUCUCUCUGUUUCUGUGUGAAUUUUAGCAUUAUUUCUCUAGAAAUGAGAAUGAUGUCCUUGGUAUUUUGAUUGGCUUCACAUUGAAUCUGUAAAUUGCUUUGGGUUGUAUGGACAUCUUUACUAUAUUAAGACUUCCAGUCCAUCAACAUGGAAUAUUUUUUACUGUGUCUUUUCUUUCUUAGUGUUUUAUAAUUUUCAUUAUAGAGAUCUUUCACAUCCUUAGUCAAAUUUAUUCCAAGAUAUUUAAUUUUUUGUAGCUUUUAUGAAUUAUAUCAAUUUUAUAAUUCCUUUUCAGCCAUGAUAUUGUUUGUGUGUAAAAAUGCUAUUGAUUUUUGUGUGUUGAUUUUAUAUCCUGCAAUUUUGGCAAACUCUCUUGUAAGUUCCAUUAGUAUCUUACUUAAUGAAGUAUUUUGGUUCCUCUAUGAAUGGGAUCAUGUAAUCUGAAACAGGGAUAAUCUGACUUUUUCUUUUCCCAUUUGUAUCACUUUGAUUUCUUUUCUUGUCUAAUGGCUCUGGCAAAAACUUCCAGAACUAUAUUGAGUAGUAAUGGUGACAGUGGGCAACCUUGUCUGGUUCCGAUUCUUAAUGCUUCCAGGUUUUCCCCAUUCAGUAUGAUGCUAGCUGUGGUUUUAUCAUAUAUUACCUUGAUUGUGUUGAGAUAUAUUCCUUCUACACACAAUUUGCUUGGGGUUUUUAAAAUUUUUUUCAUGAAUGGAUGCUGUAGUUUAGCGAAUGCUUUCUCUACAUCUAUUGAGAUAAUCAUGCUUUUAUUUAUCAAUUUUUUAAUUUGAUGUAUCACAUUUAUGAUUUGCAUAUGUUGAACCAUCCCUAAAAUGUCAAAUUUAUAGGCUAUAUAGCCCACUUAAGAUUUUCAGUUCACUCUAUCCCACAUAUCACAAAAACUUAAGCUGAUAUUUUCAUAAUCUAUUUACUGUUCCUGAAAUGUAUUUAGAAUUAUGACCAAGAAUGAGAGUCUUUCUUGUGUUGUCUCUAACCCAGUUCAGAAUCAAGAGACAGUUCAUAUAUCUAUCUGCAAAAAGCAAACAAAAAUCAAUAAUACAAACAAAUCACCUAAUGAGAAAUUCAUACAAUGUCACAAUACAUUAGAGGUGUUUUGAAAAAGUUAUGAAAAAUGUAUAUUAUCAAAAAAGUGCGUAUGUAUGUAAAAACACUUUGCAACCAAAUUAGCUUAUAUUUUCAUUCAAUUUCCCACAGUUUUUGA
Non-coding RNA from Oryctolagus cuniculus (rabbit), 3456 nucleotides. NCBI's taxonomy places the organism in Eukaryota, Metazoa, Chordata, Mammalia, Lagomorpha, Leporidae. The record is from RefSeq and is a predicted model, not a curated record.